Long non-coding RNA from Branchiostoma floridae (Florida lancelet), 236 nucleotides. RefSeq lists it as uncharacterized. The record is from RefSeq and is a predicted model, not a curated record. Lineage: Eukaryota; Metazoa; Chordata; Leptocardii; Amphioxiformes; Branchiostomatidae. The transcript is spliced from 3 exons.
GGUCCAGCAAUAUGAGCUGACGACAGCAUCAACAUCGCCAGAUAAUAUAACUGACAUUACAAUCAAUGGAACAUCGGGCAGUGUCCAUGUACGCGACCUGAUGACAACAUCAACACCGACAGAUAUGAAAACUGAAACCACUGGACUCAAAAGAACAUCAGGCAGUGAUUCGGUACCUACGGUUGAAGUAACACAGUGGAAGACUGAAAAUCCAGACCUGUCAGCGACCCGAAAAG